Molecule: unclassified non-coding RNA, 4856 nt
Filed under: Cotesia glomerata
Lineage: Eukaryota; Metazoa; Arthropoda; Insecta; Hymenoptera; Braconidae
Description: plasma membrane calcium-transporting ATPase 2, transcript variant X5
Source: RNAcentral
AAUAAUAAUAAUAAUAAUAGUAAUCAUCAUCAAGAUCAUAUUUAAUAUUGCGCUGACAGUGACGGUAGUGGCUGUUGGAAAUUGGCUCGAGUUUAAAGUCAAAAAUUAUUUCGCUCCAAUUUUUAAUUACUUUCAUAUUUGAUAUAGAAGUUAUUUAUUUAUUAAAUUUAAUAAAAUUAAAGAUACGAGUUUGAUUAAGUCACCGAAUAACACGGGGUGUGUGCUUGUGUGUGUGAGUGUGUGUGUGUGCUCUACGAAUUCGCUAAAAGUCUAUAAUAUAUAACUGCCGGUGAUUUGGCAGUGUGAAACAUCGAAUUGUGGUAUUUGGUGACGGCAUUAACAAAAAGUGCUAAUUAACGGUGUCUUGGUGAAUGUAAUUAUAAUUUAUAAAAAUACCUCAGGAAAAGUGGGCGAGGGCGUGCGUGACCGGGUUUAGAUCGUUACAGGGGUGGAAAAAAAAAUGAAAGAAUAAGUUAUUUUUUUUAACACAAUUAUAACAUAUUAUUUAUACAUAAAAACUAAACUCUGAAGAUCGUGAUUGUCGAUGGUACAAAAAUAAUAAGAUAAAAACACAAAAGUAAAAAAUAUGAAUUUUAAUGGACUGUAAAAAUCUUAAAUAGCUAAUUGGUUAAACCGGUCCGUUUUAAAUUCUGUAAGAUCUGUAUGGUAUAUAGAUCUAAGUAUACGUUAAAAUAUUUAAAUAUAUCAGAGCUCUAAACUCAGGUCAUGUGCGUGUCCGUGUGUUGGACUUGGAGUGUGUAGUUUGAUAUAUUUUUAUUUUAUAAUUUGACACGCCUGAAAACGGCGCAAGGAACGCCAACGGCGACGACAACGGCAGCUAACCAAAGUGCGACCGAUUUAACAUCAUCGCAGCUAACAUCGGCGCCUGGACAACCUAUCGUGAAGGUAUCAGUCCACUGUGAAUCCUGUCGUGGCAACUUUAAACUAUCACGUCGCAUGCUUCGCGGAGUCAAGUCCAACAAGUCGGAAAUACCCGAUCAAAGGAGGCGCUGCUCGUGGAUAAUAUGCGGUAGAACCUGUAAUCCACGACUGGCAGGUAAAUUUAACAGCUAGUGGAACUUCGACUUCUCGGAGCUCAAGGAAGUACAGAGAAAAUAGCCUGGGUCGUUGGCUUUAGAGAACGACAAAAGAGUUGGCAUUAAUUGCCAACGAUUACUAAAAAGUAAUCAUCACAAUCAUCAGCGUUUGCGGCAGCAGGUAGCACCUGGUGUGUAAAAGGCUCGAGGAUGGCGACGAUAGACGGCAGACCGGCCCAAUAUGGAGUCUCUCUCAAACAACUUAGAGAGCUCAUGGAGCACCGAGGCCGCGAGGGUGUUAAUAAAAUAAACGCCCUUGGUGGUGUCCAGGAAAUAUGCAAAAAGUUAUAUACCUCGCCGAGCGAUGGCCUCAGUGGAUCAUCGGCGGACAUGCAGCACAGGCGAGACACAUUUGGUUCCAACUCAAUACCUCCAAAACCACCUAAAACAUUUCUCACGUUAGUGUGGGAAGCUCUUCAAGAUGUCACUUUGAUAAUCCUUGAAAUAGCUGCAUUGGUUUCGUUAGGUCUUAGCUUUUAUCACCCAACCCCCAAGGCAGAAGAUGAUGAUGUUGAAUUAGAUGAAGAUGAGGCUAAAUACGGUUGGAUUGAGGGUCUUGCCAUUUUAAUCUCCGUUAUAGUAGUUGUGUUAGUUACAGCAUUUAAUGAUUACUCGAAAGAAAGGCAAUUUCGGGGCUUACAAAAUAGGAUAGAGGGUGAACAUAAAUUUGCUGUUAUUAGACAAAAUGAAGUCAAGCAAAUUUCCGUGUCUGAUAUCGUCGUGGGCGAUAUUUGUCAGAUAAAAUACGGUGAUUUGCUACCAGCGGAUGGUAUUCUAAUCCAAAGUAACGAUCUGAAAGUCGACGAGUCAAGUUUGACUGGAGAAUCGGAUCAUGUUAAAAAAGGCGAAGCCUUUGACCCGAUGGUGCUAUCAGGUACUCACGUGAUGGAGGGCUCAGGAAAGAUGCUCGUGACAGCUGUGGGUGUUAACUCACAAGCCGGUAUUAUCUUCACGUUGCUGGGCGCUGCUGUUGAUCAACAGGAGCAGGAAAUUAAGAAAAUGAAAAAAGAAGCUAAAAAGCAGCGGAAGAAGAAGUCUCUCCCAGGAGAUGAAGCUGGAGAAAUCACGGGUAACAGUCAUCCAGGAAGCGGUGGAAGUGUUAAACAAGACGGAGAAAAUCAUGCUGCCGCGUCAAGUGGCGGUGGAGGUGGUCAUGGUGAAGGAAAGAAAGAAAAAAGUGUUCUGCAAGCCAAGCUGACAAAACUUGCCAUUCAAAUUGGUUACGCUGGGUCAACAAUUGCCGUACUUACGGUUCUCAUUCUAAUCGUACAAUUUUGUGUUAAGAAAUUUUACAUUCAAAAAGCCCAAUGGGAGAGCUCAUACAUCAAUAAUCUUAUAAAACACUUGAUUAUUGGUGUUACCGUGCUUGUGGUUGCUGUACCGGAAGGUCUUCCACUUGCCGUUACGUUGUCUCUUGCCUACUCGGUCAAGAAAAUGAUGAAGGACAACAACUUGGUACGGCAUCUGGAUGCAUGUGAAACAAUGGGUAAUGCAACGGCGAUUUGUUCCGACAAAACGGGUACUUUGACGACGAAUCGUAUGACUGUUGUCCAGUCUUACAUAUGCGAGAAGCUCAGCAAAACAAUACCGCCGUUUUCUGACAUACCGAGCCACGUUGGAAAUCUUAUUGUCCAGGCAAUAUCUCUUAAUUCGGCUUAUACGUCCAGAAUAAUGCCCGCGGCAGAUCCUACCGAACUACCGAUGCAGGUCGGCAACAAAACCGAAUGUGCCUUACUUGGAUUUGUACUGGCGUUGGGCCAGAAUUAUCAAACGGUACGGGAUGACCAGCCGGAGGAAACAUUUACGCGUGUAUACACAUUUAACAGUGUAAGAAAAAGUAUGUCUACUGUUGUUCCAAAAUCAGGCGGUGGUUACAGGCUCUUCACCAAGGGUGCUUCCGAGAUCAUCAUGAAGAAAUGUGCCUUUAUUUACGGUCGCGAUGGACAUUUGGAAAAAUUCACCCGUGAAAUGCAAGAUCGUUUGGUUAAAAAUGUUAUUGAGCCGAUGGCGUGCGACGGAUUACGUACUAUUUCAGUAGCAUACCGAGAUUUUGUACCCGGUAAAGCUGAAAUAAAUCAAGUACACUGUGAAGGUGAACCUAACUGGGAGGAUGAAGAAAAUAUUGUAAAUAAUUUAACGUGUCUGUGUAUCGUUGGUAUCGAAGAUCCCGUGAGACCAGAAGUACCAGAGGCAAUAAGAAAAUGUCAAAAAGCUGGUAUAACUGUACGAAUGGUUACUGGUGACAAUAUAAAUACCGCUCGAUCAAUAGCACUCAAAUGUGGUAUUAUUAAAGCGAGUGACGAUUUUCUUAUACUUGAGGGUAAAGAGUUCAACAGGCGAAUAAGAGACAGUAAUGGUGAAGUUCAACAGCACUUACUGGAUAAAGUUUGGCCAAAAUUAAGGGUACUGGCACGUUCGUCACCCACCGAUAAGUACACCCUGGUAAAAGGUAUUAUCGACAGUACUUGUACAGCCUCACGCGAAGUUGUUGCUGUCACCGGUGACGGUACUAACGACGGUCCGGCGUUGAAAAAAGCCGACGUUGGUUUUGCGAUGGGUAUCGCUGGUACAGAUGUUGCUAAAGAAGCUUCCGAUAUUAUAUUAACAGAUGACAAUUUUUCCUCUAUUGUUAAAGCCGUAAUGUGGGGCAGGAAUGUUUACGAUAGUAUAGCUAAAUUUUUGCAAUUUCAACUGACAGUUAACAUUGUUGCUGUUAUUGUUGCAUUCAUUGGUGCUUGUGCUGUACAAGACUCGCCUCUCAAGGCUGUACAAAUGUUAUGGGUUAAUUUAAUUAUGGACACACUCGCGUCACUUGCAUUAGCCACAGAAUUACCUACACCAGAUCUGUUGCUUCGUAAACCUUAUGGACGUACGAAGCCACUUAUUUCCAGGACAAUGAUGAAAAAUAUCCUUGGUCAAGGGAUUUAUCAGUUGAUUGUUAUUUUUACGCUCCUAUUUGCCGGUGACCGAAUGCUGGAUAUACCUACUGGAUUAGGUGCUGCAGACAGACACGAUCCACCUACUCAACACUUCACUAUAAUAUUUAACACAUUCGUAAUGAUGACCCUCUUCAACGAGUUCAACGCGAGAAAAAUUCACGGUCAGCGCAAUGUCUUCCAGGGAAUAUUCACCAACCCCAUCUUCUAUUCUAUUUGGAUCGGGACAUUGCUCUCCCAAGUUAUUAUCAUCCAGUAUGGUAAGAUGGCAUUCAGCACAAAAGCUCUAGAUCUAGAACAAUGGUUAUGGUGUAUAUUCUUUGGAAUUGGUACGUUAGUGUGGGGCCAAGUAGUUACAACAGUUCCUACAAGGAAGAUUCCUAAGAUCCUCUCAUGGGGCCGCGGCCAGCCGGAUGAUAUCGGUGCUAUCAAUCUAGGAGACGAGAAAUUCGACCCAGACUCGGAUAAAAAGCCGCGCGCAGGACAAAUUCUAUGGAUCCGUGGUCUAACACGGCUACAGACUCAGACGAGCAAUAGAUCUCUGGUGCAGAAUGUAUCUGUGACAGGCAGAUCUCCCUCUCAGGAUUACUAUAUGCCAGCGGAACCUAUUCGGGAGACCGAGGUAUAACAAGGCGGCAGUCUUACCGGCCGCCGCCACUCUAUUCCUGUCGGAGUACAAACAAAUCCGCGUAGUGAACGCAUUUCGGCAGGGCCUAGACUCGCGAUACGGCGAGCACAGUGGAUUGACCCUUGCGGAGGUACUGCGGAAGCAAUCAUCGCUGAGUAAGCGGCACUCACAGACGAGCAGCAUCGAUUAUGCCGA